UUACUGAAAUAUAGAUGAUCCUGUAAGAAACUUUUAACUAUUUAGGAUAAAUAAUUGCCUGUAAGCUGUUGUAAUGUGGUUUUAAGGACUGCUUUUCACAGCGCAGAGUCCCAAAGUACUGCAUUGUGACAGUAAUUCCGGGCAGAUUCGGAAUGGAUCGGCUCACCUUGGGAUUUGGAAUGUGUUGGUUGUGGAGAGCCUCUCUGAGCUCACGAGGAUGUUUUCUUGAUGGUUAUGGCUGCAGGGAUUCUCACUGCUUGGAAAACAUGAGGACGGGGACCAAGAAUCUUUUCGCUCAGUCUUCUGAGGAAAGUUUGGUUCGGGUACAAAAAGAAAGCAAGGAGAGGGGCAAGCUCCAUCCCAUCGCACAAAUGAUCUCUACGUGGAGCUGGAAGAGUAACAAGAGUUCAGAAAUUUAAUAACCAAUGCAGAUAUCAUAAAAGCCUGACUGUUGGUUUGUGGUCAACAGCAUCAUUUUCUUUGAGCAAAGAGGAAGAGAAAUGUAUCCGUGUGUGAUGGAGAGCAGCAAUCAAUGCUAAGACGUGCACCCAGUUUGUUGGGAAAAGUAAUGGGGUAUACAGGAAAGCAUGGGCAGAGUGAAGGAAGCAUGGAAGAGCUGAUGGAAAGCUCCUGAGACUCAGAGGCAACCUCUCUUCUCCCUUGCCAGCAUGCCGCAUUGUGAUGGAUAAGCAUCUAAACCAUGGUAAAACCUGAAAAAAGGAAGCACUCCUAUCACUGAUGAAGAUGCAUCAUCACUGGUCUUGGUUCAAAAACCAUUAAAGUUUCUGAGUGGUUCCAGUGGGAAUGAGAACAACCCUUUUUUCUGAAGAAAUAGAGGUAUAUAUUAAACCUUAAUUGAGAAGAGCCUCCACCAGGAAUUUCCCUCUGAGGGAAAGGAGCUUUUGUGGAUAUAAUUGUUUUGGAGGGAGUAAUUAUUCCAUGGACAUUUCCCAAGGUGUGAGUGAUGGCUUUUUUUGCUGAUUUUCCUGAGAGCGGAAGAGCUGUAGCAGUCUUAUUAAGGACCGGUGGCACUACCUGGCAAGCAGGGGACAGGCUGCUGUUUCAACAUACAUACACAGCAGCAGGAACAAGUUUCUUAUUGUUUGGCUGAAUAUUUCUCUAUUAUUCUUUCCCCUGCAGCACAACACAGUUUGCAGCAAUUGAUUGACUUAGCUGGACAGUGAGAUAAAAAAUUACAAAUAAGAGCGGCU
Molecule: long non-coding RNA, 1211 nt
Organism: Numida meleagris (helmeted guineafowl)
Lineage: Eukaryota; Metazoa; Chordata; Aves; Galliformes; Numididae
Exons: 4
Source: RefSeq, a predicted model, not a curated record